AUCGAUGAAGAACGCAGCGAAAUGCGAUAAGUAAUGUGAAUUGCAGAAUUCAGUGAAUCAUCGAAUCUUUGAACGCACAUUGCGCCCCUUGGUAUUCCGAGGGGCAUGCCUGUUCGAGCGUCAUUACAACCCUCAAGCAUAGCUUGGUCUUGGGCUCCGCUGCUCACCCAGCGGGCCUUAAAAUCAGUGGCGGUGCCGUCGAGGCCCUGAGCGUAGUAAAUAUCCUCGCUUUAGGGACCCGGUGGACACUGGCCAUCAACCCCCAACUUUCUAAGUUUGACCUCGGAUCAGGUAGGGAUACCCGCUGAACUUAAGCAUAUCAAUAAGCGGAGGAAAAGAAACCAACAGGGAUUGCCUCAGUAACGGCGAGUGAAGCGGCAACAGCUCAAAUUUGAAAUCUGGCUCUUUCAGGGUCCGAGUUGUAAUUUGUAGAAGAUGCUUCGGGUGUGGCUCCGGUCUAAGUUCCUUGGAACAGGACGUCAUAGAGGGUGAGAAUCCCGUAUGUGACUGGUUGCCUUCGCCUAUGUGAAGCUCUUUCGACGAGUCGAGUUGUUUGGGAAUGCAGCUCAAAAUGGGUGGUAAAUUUCAUCUAAAGCUAAAUAUUGGCCAGAGACCGAUAGCGCACAAGUAGAGUGAUCGAAAGAUGAAAAGCACUUUGGAAAGAGAGUUAAACAGUACGUGAAAUUGUUGAAAGGGAAGCGCUUGCAACCAGACUUGCACGCGGUUAAUCAUCUGGUGUUCUCACCGGUGCACUUGACCGCGUUCAGGCCAGCAUCGGUUUAGGUGGUGGGAUAAAGGCCUUGGGAAUGUAGCUUCUUUCGGGGAGUGUUAUAGCCCUCGGUGUAAUGCCGCCUACCUGGACCGAGGACCGCGCUUCGGCUAGGAUGCUGGCGUAAUGGUUGUAAGCGACCCGUCUUGAAACACGG
Molecule: ribosomal RNA, 926 nt
Filed under: uncultured fungus
Lineage: Eukaryota; Fungi
Description: eukaryotic LSU rRNA
Rfam family: Eukaryotic large subunit ribosomal RNA (bases 278-926)
Source: RNAcentral